Molecule: transfer RNA, 75 nt
Filed under: Candidatus Terraquivivens tikiterensis
Lineage: Archaea; Thermoproteati; Nitrososphaerota; Candidatus Wolframiiraptoraceae
Also listed under: 6 other names
Description: Aigarchaeota archaeon NZ13_MG1 tRNA-Pro
Rfam family: tRNA
About the family: Transfer RNA (tRNA) molecules are approximately 80 nucleotides in length. Their secondary structure includes four short double-helical elements and three loops (D, anti-codon, and T loops). Further hydrogen bonds mediate the characteristic L-shaped molecular structure. tRNAs have two regions of fundamental functional importance: the anti-codon, which is responsible for specific mRNA codon recognition, and the 3' end, to which the tRNAs corresponding amino acid is attached (by aminoacyl-tRNA synthetases). tRNAs cope with the degeneracy of the genetic code in two manners: having more than one tRNA (with a specific anti-codon) for a particular amino acid; and 'wobble' base-pairing, i.e. permitting non-standard base-pairing at the 3rd anti-codon position.
Source: RNAcentral
GGGGCCGUAGUCUAGCAUGGUUAUGACACCUGGCUUGGGCCCAGGAGGUCCUGGGUUCGAAUCCCAGCGGCCCCA